Molecule: ribosomal RNA, 507 nt
Filed under: uncultured bacterium
Lineage: Bacteria
Description: partial 16S ribosomal RNA
Source: RNAcentral
GGAGUUAGCCGGUGCUUCUUCUGUGAGUGAUGUCCUUCCUGCCGGUUAUUGACCCGCAGGCCUUCUUCCUCACUGAAAGUGCUUUACAACCCGAAGGCCUUCUUCACACACGCGGCAUGGCUGGAUCAGGGUUGCCCCCAUUGUCCAAUAUUCCCCACUGCUGCCUACCGUAGGAGUCUGGGCCGUGUCUCAGUCCCAGUGUGGCUGAUCAUCCUCUCAGACCAGCUACGGAUCGUCGCCUUGGUGAGCCGUUACCUCACCAACCAGCUAAUCCGACAUAGGCUCAUCCGAUAGCGCGAGGCCCGAAGGUCCCCCGCUUUCCCCCGUAGGGCGUAUGCGGUAUUAGCCUGGGUUUCCCCAGGUUAUCCCCCACUACCGGGCAGAUUCCUAUGCAUUACUCACCCGUCCGCCGCUCGCCACCAGGGAGCAAGCUCCCCGUGCUGCCGCUCGACUUGCAUGUGUUAGGCCUGCCGCCAGCGUUCAAUCUGAGCCAGAAUCGAACCCUGA